This 528-nucleotide ribosomal RNA is filed under the name Triticum aestivum (bread wheat). RNAcentral describes it as "partial small subunit ribosomal RNA". Lineage: Eukaryota; Viridiplantae; Streptophyta; Magnoliopsida; Poales; Poaceae. The record is from RNAcentral.
AUGCCACCAGCUGACAUGACUGAGCAUGUUGCCAAGCUGCUUGAAGAAAAGAAGGGAUUUGAUGUCAGUUUCAUUGUUGGAGGAGAGGCCAUUGAAGCACAUAGGUUUGUUAUCGCUAUGCGGUCGCCUAUUUUUAAAGCAGAGCUCUAUGGGUCAAUGCGGGAGGCAAGGCCAGGGCAGUGCAUAACCAUCAAGGACAUGCAACCUGCUGUUUUCAAGGCCCUGCUCCAUUUCAUCUAUACUGACUCCUUGCCUAGGGGCGAGGAUACUGAGAUGGUCCAGCUUUUACUAGUGGCUGCUGACAGAUAUGCAAUGGAUAGACUCAAGUUGGUUUGCCAAAGCAUCCUUUGCAAGGAUCUGAACAAGGACACUGUGGCAACCACAUUGGCUUUAGCUGACCAACAUAACUGCCUCCAGCUUAAGGAUGCUUCCCUUCAGUUUAUCGAAUUAUCAGGUUUCAAGGAUCUCAAGGCGACUUGCCCAUCUUUCAUAGAGGACGUAUUGAAGAAGAUAAGAAAAGUUUCAUGA